This 673-nucleotide ribosomal RNA is filed under the name uncultured bacterium. Its description in RNAcentral is "bacterial SSU rRNA". It matches the Rfam family "Bacterial small subunit ribosomal RNA", at positions 622 to 1300 of the family's 1533-position model. The record is from RNAcentral.
UGCCUUUGAUACUGGUUAUCUUGAGUUAUUAUGAAGUAGUUAGAAUAUGUAGUGUAGCGGUGAAAUGCAUAGAUAUUACAUAGAAUACCAAUUGCGAAGGCAGAUUACUAAUAAUCAACUGACACUGAUGGACGAAAGCGUGGGUAGCGAACAGGAUUAGAUACCCUGGUAGUCCACGCCGUAAACGAUGGUUACUAGCUGUUUGGACCUUGUGUCUGAGUGGCUAAGCGAAAGUGAUAAGUAACCCACCUGGGGAGUACGUUCGCAAGAAUGAAACUCAAAGGAAUUGACGGGGGCCCGCACAAGCGGUGGAGCAUGUGGUUUAAUUCGAUGAUACGCGAGGAACCUUACCAGGGCUUAAAUGUAAGUUGCAUUAGUUAGAGAUAGCUAUUUCUUCGGACCACUUACAAGGUGCUGCAUGGUUGUCGUCAGCUCGUGCCGUGAGGUGUCAGGUUAAGUCCUAUAACGAGCGCAACCCCUGUUGUUAGUUGCCAGCGAGUCAUGUCGGGAACUCUAACAAGACUGCCAGUGCAAACUGUGAGGAAGGUGGGGAUGACGUCAAAUCAUCACGGCCCUUACGUCCUGGGCUACACACGUGCUACAAUGGUCGGUACAGAGAGCAGCCACUACGCGAGUAGGAGCGAAUCUUAAAAGCCGAUCACAGUUCGGAUCG